UGCAACGCGAAGAACCUUACUUACUCUUGACAUCCAGAGAACUUUCCAGAGAUGGAUUGGUGCCUUCGGGAACUCUGAGACAGGUGCUGCAUGGCUGUCGUCAGCUCGUGUUGUGAAAUGUUGGGUUAAGUCCCGCAACGAGCGCAACCCUUAUCCUUUGUUGCCAGCGGUUCGGCCGGGAACUCAAAGGAGACUGCCAGUGAUAAACUGGAGGAAGGUGGGGAUGACGUCAAGUCAUCAUGGCCCUUACGAGUAGGGCUACACACGUGCUACAAUGGCGUAUACAAAGAGAAGCGACCUCGCGAGAGCAAGCGGACCUCAUAAAGUACGUCGUAGUCCGGAUUGGAGUCUGCAACUCGACUCCAUGAAGUCGGAAUCGCUAGUAAUCGUAGAUCAGAAUGCUACGGUGAAUACGUUCCCGGGCCUUGUACACACCGCCCGUCACACCAUGGGAGUGGGUUGCAGAAGAAGUAGGUAGCUUAACCUUCGGGAGGGCGCUUACCACUUUGUGAUUCAUGACUGGGGUGAAGUCGUAACAAGGUAACCA
This 547-nucleotide ribosomal RNA is filed under the name uncultured Serratia sp. RNAcentral's name for it is "bacterial SSU rRNA". It matches the Rfam family "Bacterial small subunit ribosomal RNA", at positions 955 to 1502 of the family's 1533-position model. The record is from RNAcentral. Lineage: Bacteria; Pseudomonadati; Pseudomonadota; Gammaproteobacteria; Enterobacterales; Yersiniaceae.